Molecule: transfer RNA, 75 nt
Filed under: Myxococcales bacterium
Lineage: Bacteria; Pseudomonadati; Myxococcota; Myxococcia; Myxococcales
Description: tRNA-Arg
Rfam family: tRNA
About the family: Transfer RNA (tRNA) molecules are approximately 80 nucleotides in length. Their secondary structure includes four short double-helical elements and three loops (D, anti-codon, and T loops).
Source: RNAcentral
GCGCCCGUAGCUCAGUCUGGAUAGAGCAGUGGCCUUCUAAGCCGAUGGUCGGGGGUUCGAAUCCCUCCGGGCGCG